CAACCAAGCACUGGAUGCUGCUGUGCUAAUGUGGUGACACAGGAACACAGACAUGGAUGGGCCUUACUGAAAUACGAGGCAGAGGAAACAAGGGCAGGGUGUGGUGCUGAGUUGUGGACCCAUUAGGGACCAGCUUUUUAUAACAGGCAGGCCAGCUGCUGGCUCCGCCUCAUUUCCUCCAAGAAGACUGGUGGGCACUGAAGAAACUUCAUCUUGAGUCAAUGGCAACGAUGGCCACUGAACAACCCUGCCCUUCACCUCAACUGCUACAAAGUAUUCCAGACCAUGGACAAGAGGACAGUGGAAUCAACUUUCCCCAUGUUGGGUCAAUGGUCAAAGAGGUACCAAGUUCCAUACAGCCUGGACUUCGAUGGAGCAACCAGAUACCCCAGGACUUGGCAGCAUCCCAGCUUUCUCAGGUCCUCCAAAGAUGGUCAACACCCUCCAUGUUAGCAGGAAGCAGUCUUGAGACUUCGACGCCCUUAUUCCUUAAUCUGCCAUGUCUAACACCCCACCUUUUUAAUAAUAAGUAAAGGUGGGAUUGAAAGGUUCAGGCAUUAUGCUGGCCUGCCCCUGUCACCUGGCAGAAUCCACUCAGGCAGCACCCUGGUCAUCCCAGGGUUCCAUGGGAACUAAGUCUGCACACAGGUAUAGAGGACCCCUU
This 664-nucleotide long non-coding RNA is filed under the name Cricetulus griseus (Chinese hamster). RNAcentral's name for it is "lncRNA (ENSCGRG00015023032.2)". Lineage: Eukaryota; Metazoa; Chordata; Mammalia; Rodentia; Cricetidae. The record is from RNAcentral.